AAAAGAUGAGCCCCGCUGUAGAUGCCCCACUUCCCUAAAAAUUCCUCAAAAUGUAAAAUACUGUCCAAUUGUUUCUUCAACCAUUUUUAUUAAAAUCUAACCCGUUGGCUGUAGUAGCAAUUUUCUUUUUUAACCAUUCAUAUUGUUAUAUAUAAUUUCAAUGAGAAUAAUUUUUUUAGAUUAAGUGAUUAAUCCAUAUCAGUUCACACAACACCAACGCUGUGGAUCAUUCAAAAUGGGCCCCUGUUGGAUGAACUAAAGAUCCCGAGCAAACUGUAAAUAUCCUCGGGCUGUGCAUUGUAUAAAACCUCUCACAACAUACCGUAGUCUAGCCCUCUAUUGCACUUCUGUAAUGCUCCGAUGUGAGAGAGGGAGAGGGAGAGAGACAGAGAGAGGAGGGCAGUGAAUUAAAAGAAAAACCCUAAAAAGCUCUUCCGAUUCAUCUGCUGUGGAGAGAUUAGAGGAGAAGCUUGGAGAACUGUCGGAUUUCCAUCUCCAAUCCUCAAAGUUCGAAGAAAAACCCUUUUCUGCAGUCCAUCUGCUCCUUCGGAUUGUCAAGAAAACGGUACUCUGAUUUGCAGUUUGCAUUAUUUGAGGACAGAGGAAGGGUUUUAACUUUCAAUCAGUGAUGCAGGCAGCUUUUCUUUUCACAGUCGUGGGCACCACUGGUUUUCUUGGUGUGUUGGGUGGCCAGCUUCCUGGGGGUUUGCCCCAUUUUGAUUGCUUAUGGCUGCGUAAAAUGAAAGUUGUCCCAUUUUGCUGACUCCAUGAAUUGGUGUUAUUUUUUCUCGUC
Molecule: long non-coding RNA, 793 nt
Organism: Magnolia sinica
Lineage: Eukaryota; Viridiplantae; Streptophyta; Magnoliopsida; Magnoliales; Magnoliaceae
Exons: 4
Source: RefSeq, a predicted model, not a curated record